This is a long non-coding RNA of Tachysurus fulvidraco (yellow catfish), 243 nucleotides long. RefSeq lists it as uncharacterized. The record is from RefSeq and is a predicted model, not a curated record. NCBI's taxonomy places the organism in Eukaryota, Metazoa, Chordata, Actinopteri, Siluriformes, Bagridae. The transcript is spliced from 3 exons.
CCAGCCUUUAAUUAACUCCUUCUGACCAAUCAGAGUUCAGCACUCAGCAGCUCUGCGGUGUGUUAGUGUAAAUGACAGGAGGAGGUGUGUUAGUGUAAAUGACAGGAGGAGGAGGUGUGUUAGUGUAAAUGACAGGAGGAGGAGGUGUGUUAGUGUAAAUGACAGGAGUUGGAGGUGUGUUAGUGUAAAUGACAGGAGGAGGAGGUGUGUUAGUGUAAAUGACAGGAGUUGGAGGUGUGUUAG